GGAUGSGUCCAUAGGCAGUAGCSGRGUACCGGCCCCACCUUACCUACGAUGGAUAGGGUCUGAGAGGAAGGUCCCCCCACCAUUGGAAMUGAGACMCGGUCCAAACUCCUACCGGAGGCAGCAGUGAGGAAUAUGGUCAAUGGGCGUAAGCCUGAACCAGCCAAGUAGCGUGAAGGAUGACGGUCCUAWGGAUUGUAAACUUCUUUAUACGCGAUUAAAAAUAUCCACUAGUGGUUAUUAUUGCAAUUAGCGUAUGAAUAAGCAUCGGCUAACUCCGUGCCAGCAGCCGCGGUAAUACGGAGGAUGGGAGCGUUAUCCGGAUUUAUUGGGUUUAAAGGGAGCGUAGAUUGUAUGUUAAGUCAGUUGUAAAAUACAGGAGCCCAACUCCUGGGAGCAGUUGAAACUGGCAUACUCGAGUAGGGUGGAGGCAGAUGGAAUUCGUGGUGUAGCGGUGAAAUGCAUAGAUAUCACGAAGAACUCCGACAGCGAAAGCAUUCUGCCACAGCCUAACUGACAUUGAUGCUCGAAAGUGCGGGUAUCAAACAGGAUUAGAUACCCUGGUAGUCCGCACGGUAAACGAUGAGUGCUCGUCCUUGGAGAUAUACAUUCAGGGUCUUAGCGAAAGCGUUAAGCACUCCACCUGGGGAGUACGCCGGCAACGGUGAAACUCAAAUGAAUUGACGG
Molecule: ribosomal RNA, 684 nt
Filed under: uncultured Bacteroidota bacterium
Lineage: Bacteria; Pseudomonadati; Bacteroidota
Description: bacterial SSU rRNA
Rfam family: Bacterial small subunit ribosomal RNA
Source: RNAcentral